AUGACCCUUAAUUAUGAUAAGGUGUAGGGAAUACGUUGGUAUCCUACCUUUGCUGACAUGUUGGAGACAGAAAACCUCGGGAAAGUUCUUCCAGGUGUUGACAGUGUCGAAAAAGGAGUAGAAAUCUACCGGAGGUUUUACACAGAAGAGAAGGAAAAGUCAAAUGGUGUUCUUGCAAUUGGUGUUUCAAAACAUACCCUUCAACCAUACAUUCCUUUGGCCAAUUUAUUCUCUGAAUUAAGUUAUGAAGGUGUUCAAGGCCUUCUAGGGUUGAUGCAUACAGCAGGGACAAUUCCAGAUGCGCUUCCACCACCAAGAUCAACUCUAUUAGCAUCAUUUAGUUUGCUAUGCAAUCCAGAUGUUGAAGGUAGUUCCUUAACUCUUGGAGCUCGUGCAUUGGCCAAACAUGCUUGUAGGAGUAGCAGUGGUUAUUGGGGGUCCCUGGAUGGAGGUGAUUCUAAUAAGAAUAGACUUGCAAUGGAUGUAAUUAAGCGCCUAAUAGCACAUUGUUGUUGGGUGAAUAUGCAUGUUGUCCCGCCGCAUGGAACCGUGUUCGAAAUAAGGGUUGCUGAAGGAUAUGGCGCACGAUGGACAGAAGAUGGAAGCAAGUUUAUUGGAUUCUUAGAGCCCUACAUGGAAGAUGGUCACUCAAAAGGAUGGAAACACUAGUUCUGCAACAAUUAAAGCUUCGAAAUCGAAAGUGUUGAUGGAUAGUUAUGGGUAUUUGAAAGUACAAAUAUGGGGCCUUAACUGAUGGUAAAGUUUUUUUUAGUGUAUAUAAAUUUGUUACUUAUACUCAUUCUGUCUUUUAAACCGAGCAGACACAUAUCUCUUACCAUUCAAUGGAGUGUGUGGUAACUGGUAACCACAUGGGAUAAUGAGUCUGACUCUAUCUAAUGAUAAAAGAGUGUAUGUCAAUUCAAUAUACAAAAUAUUUCUCAUC
This is an RNA transcript of Arachis duranensis, 943 nucleotides long. RefSeq lists it as uncharacterized. The record is from RefSeq and is a predicted model, not a curated record. The transcript is spliced from 7 exons. Lineage: Eukaryota; Viridiplantae; Streptophyta; Magnoliopsida; Fabales; Fabaceae.